CCUACGGGUGGCAGCAGUGGGGAAUAUUGGACAAUGGGGGGAACCCUGAUCCAGCCAUGCCGCGUGUGUGAAGAAGGCCCUCGGGUUGUAAAGCACUUUCAGUGAGGAAGAACGCCUGUCGGUUAAUACCCAUCAGGAAAGACAUCACUCACAGAAGAAGCACCGGCUAACUCCGUGCCAGCAGCCGCGGUAAUACGGAGGGUGCGAGCGUUAAUCGGAAUUACUGGGCGUAAAGCGCGCGUAGGUGGCUUGAUAAGCCGGUUGUGAAAGCCCCGGGCUCAACCUGGGAACGGCAUCCGGAACUGUCAAGCUAGAGUGCAGGAGAGGAAGGUAGAAUUCCCGGUGUAGCGGUGAAAUGCGUAGAGAUCGGGAGGAAUACCAGUGGCGAAGGCGGCCUUCUGGACUGACACUGACACUGAGGUGCGAAAGCGUGGGUAGCAAACAGGAUUAGAUACCCCUGUAGUC
Molecule: ribosomal RNA, 465 nt
Filed under: Vreelandella stevensii
Lineage: Bacteria; Pseudomonadati; Pseudomonadota; Gammaproteobacteria; Oceanospirillales; Halomonadaceae
Description: partial 16S ribosomal RNA
Rfam family: Bacterial small subunit ribosomal RNA
Source: RNAcentral